This is a long non-coding RNA of Brassica rapa (field mustard), 790 nucleotides long. RefSeq lists it as uncharacterized. NCBI's taxonomy places the organism in Eukaryota, Viridiplantae, Streptophyta, Magnoliopsida, Brassicales, Brassicaceae. The record is from RefSeq and is a predicted model, not a curated record.
UGUUAUUAUGGGUGUUUUGUAUAAAGGAGGAGCUUGAUUAAUGUAGAAUAAUAAACUUGUUGUUUGUGGAAUUUGAAUCUUACUUAUACAUGCUUCAUUGUUAUGCCGCUCCAUGCAGCUAUAAUGCAGAGGAACUGGAUAUUGAAUCUUUAAGGACCUCCCAGCUACAAACUCGUCUUCUACAAUCAAGGCAAGUAGUGUCUAGAUAACGAGAUAACAUUCAAUGAAACAAUAAUCGAGGAAAGAGAGCAAGGAAUUAGAGAAAUUCAAGAACAGAUUGGUGAAGUGAAUGAAAUCUUCAAAGAUCUAGCUGUUUUAGUGAAUGGUCAAGGAGUUAUGAUCGAUGACAUCAGCUCUAACAUUGAUAACUCGCAAGCUGCAACUGCACAGGCCACUUCUCAACUCAGAAAAGCAUCUAAAACUCAAAGAGCAAACUCAUCUUUGACAUGCCUUCUUAUUCUCAUUUUUGGGAUUGUUCUACUCAUUACCAUCAUCGUUGUAUUGGUCUGAGCAUCAAACUCCUCCAGUCUUCAUUUUUCAAGCAUGAAACGAAGACUUGAGUCAAGGAAGCUAUACAAAUUACCCAUUAAAGAAAUAUCUACUGUACAGAUUCUUUUUACUCCAUCGUCAUUCACAUGUAAUCAAAUCGAACCUCAACUUCUCAUCGUGUGAAUCCUUUAUAUAGUAAUCCAUCUUACCAUUAGUGAUACGGAUGAUGUUUUCACUCAAAAGUAACAUGUAUUAGAAACAAAGGCAGAGCAAAAUAUCCACUCUAAGAUUUGAUUAUUCA